Molecule: ribosomal RNA, 466 nt
Filed under: uncultured bacterium
Lineage: Bacteria
Description: partial 16S ribosomal RNA
Rfam family: Bacterial small subunit ribosomal RNA
Source: RNAcentral
ACGAACGCUGGCGGCGUGCUUAACACAUGCAAGUCGAACGGAAAGGCCCUGCUUUUGUGGGGUGCUCGAGUGGCGAACGGGUGAGUAACACGUGAGUAACCUGCCCUUGACUUUGGGAUAACUUCAGGAAACUGGGGCUAAUACCGGAUAGGAGCUCCUGCUGCAUGGUGGGGGUUGGAAAGUUUCGGCGGUUGGGGAUGGACUCGCGGCUUAUCAGCUUGUUGGUGGGGUAGUGGCUUACCAAGGCUUUGACGGGUAGCCGGCCUGAGAGGGUGACCGGCCACAUUGGGACUGAGAUACGGCCCAGACUCCUACGGGAGGCAGCAGUGGGGAAUAUCGCACAAUGGGCGGAAGCCUGAUGCAGCAACGCCGCGUGCGGGAUGACGGCCUUCGGGUUGUAAACCGCUUUCGCCUGUGACGAAGCGUGAGUGACGGUAAUGGGUAAAGAAGCACCGGCUAACUACGU